UCGGGAAUUUUGGGCAAUGGGGGAAACCCUGACCCAGCAACGCCGCGUGAAGGAUGAAGUAUUUCGGUAUGUAAACUUCGAAAGAAUAGGAAGAAUAAAUGACGGUACUAUUUAUAAGGUCCGGCUAACUACGUGCCAGCAGCCGCGGUAAUACGUAGGGACCAAGCGUUGUUCGGAUUUACUGGGCGUAAAGGGCGCGUAGGCGGCAUGACAAGUCACUUGUGAAAUCUCUGGGCUUAACCCAGAACGGCCAAGUGAUACUGUCGCGCUAGAGUGCAGAAGGGGCAAUCGGAAUUCUUGGUGUAGCGGUGAAAUGCGUAGAUAUCAAGAGGAACACCUGAGGUGAAGACGGGUUGCUGGGCUGACACUGACGCUGAGGCGCGAAAGCCAGGGGAGCAAAACGUGAUUAGAUACCCGAGUAGUCCCUGAGCGGGCUGGCAAGGCGCAU
This 448-nucleotide ribosomal RNA is filed under the name uncultured bacterium. RNAcentral describes it as "bacterial SSU rRNA". It matches the Rfam family "Bacterial small subunit ribosomal RNA", at positions 355 to 825 of the family's 1533-position model. The record is from RNAcentral.